AAGGUAAGCUUUGCUCUCCGCGUUCGCGGAGGCGAGUAUAGAUGUCGACCGAUUAAAAGUUAAGUGAAGUUCCAUAAUCGACUGAAGAAUGGCCUAGAUAAGGAUUGUUAGCGGCUGUUUUAACAUCGAAAAAGUGAAGUGGAACUUUUUCCGUGUUUGUUUUUCAAUUUUUCAUAUGAGCAAAGCAACUCGUCAAAACAAACGACCAAUUGACAGGAUACUUUAAUUGUAAAGGUAGUAAAACAAUGAGCUGUAAUUUCAUUUUGUAUUUAAAACAGCUUAGGCCUUACAAGUCGCAUUCAGCGGACUAACACUACAAGGCACGACCACCCACCAUCUCUGCGUCCCUCAGGAUUCAACAAAUCCUGGUUUCAUCGGUCGCCGUUUAUCAAGAACGGUGUGCUCAUUCAUUUAUUCAAACCUGCGACUUCUCAAGAACUUUUUCCCAUAAAAGUUUUUUGUCCGUCUAAUCCGGAACAUAUCAUCGAUGGCCGCUCAGCAGGUCGAAGCAACUGGAGAACAACAUGUUUCGCCGACGUUAGUAAUCAACAAAAACAAAGGUCUAGGAAAUGGGGUUUUCG
This 581-nucleotide long non-coding RNA is filed under the name Daphnia pulicaria. RNAcentral describes it as "uncharacterized LOC124319746, transcript variant X3". The record is from RNAcentral. Lineage: Eukaryota; Metazoa; Arthropoda; Branchiopoda; Diplostraca; Daphniidae.